This 350-nucleotide ribosomal RNA is filed under the name Bacillus sp. RZ4MS4. RNAcentral's name for it is "bacterial SSU rRNA". It matches the Rfam family "Bacterial small subunit ribosomal RNA", at positions 111 to 454 of the family's 1533-position model. Lineage: Bacteria; Bacillati; Bacillota; Bacilli; Caryophanales; Bacillaceae. The record is from RNAcentral.
UAACACGUGGGUAACCUGCCCAUAAGACUGGGAUAACUCCGGGAAACCGGGGCUAAUACCGGAUAAYAUUUUGAACYGCAUGGUUCGAAAUUGAAAGGCGGCUUCGGCUGUCACUUAUGGAUGGACCCGCGUCGCAUUAGCUAGUUGGUGAGGUAACGGCUCACCAAGGCAACGAUGCGUAGCCGACCUGAGAGGGUGAUCGGCCACACUGGGACUGAGACACGGCCCAGACUCCUACGGGAGGCAGCAGUAGGGAAUCUUCCGCAAUGGACGAAAGUCUGACGGAGCAACGCCGCGUGAGUGAUGAAGGCUUUCGGGUCGUAAAACUCUGUUGUUAGGGAAGAACAAGU